Molecule: small nuclear RNA, 103 nt
Organism: Prunus dulcis (almond)
Lineage: Eukaryota; Viridiplantae; Streptophyta; Magnoliopsida; Rosales; Rosaceae
Source: RefSeq, a predicted model, not a curated record
GGGGCCUGACGUCCUCGUCGGCAUACUCGCACCACACGGCAGACAAGAUUAGCAUGGCCCAUGCGCGAUGACACGAAUAAAUCGAGAAAUGGUCCAAAUUUUU